GGUGAAUUUCACAUCAAAUUCCACCUCUGAAACAAAGCUGAUAAUUUUAUAUGGAGCCUGGUAAUACUGUAUGGUGUUGCCCAAGAUGAGCAUAAAUCUGCUUUCCUUAGGGAAUUAAUAAAUCUGGCUAGUGAUAACCCAUAUCCAAUGGUUAUUGGAGGGGACUUUAAUAUCCUUAGGUACCAGGAAGAGAAAAAUAAUGACCGCUUUGAUACACACUGGCCUUUCCUAUUCAAUGUAGUCAUUGACAGUUUGAUUUUUCAGGAAGCUAGUAUGUCGGGCCACAAAUUCACUUGGGCUAAUAACCGUGUCGUGCCGACAUACGAGAAGCUUGAUAGGGUACCCAUAGAUACCGACUGGGAGCUAAAAUUUCAUAUGGUAACCGUACCGACCCUAGAGUGUAUCAAGGAAUUAUCGGAUCAUGCGCCUAUCAUUCUUGAUUCUAACUCUACGGGUCCAUCUACUGCCGGCCCUUUCAAUUUUGAAUUGGGAUGGUUGCACCAGGAAGGCUUUGAGGACAUAAUCAAGAAUGUAUGGGCUCAUAGAGUAGAACAAUAUCCUCAUGACACCUUUCUCUGA
Molecule: ribosomal RNA, 579 nt
Filed under: Triticum aestivum (bread wheat)
Lineage: Eukaryota; Viridiplantae; Streptophyta; Magnoliopsida; Poales; Poaceae
Description: partial small subunit ribosomal RNA
Source: RNAcentral